Molecule: long non-coding RNA, 524 nt
Filed under: Homo sapiens (human)
Lineage: Eukaryota; Metazoa; Chordata; Mammalia; Primates; Hominidae
Description: HSALNT0123155
Source: RNAcentral
UGUUGAUGCCCAACUCAUGCCUCUGGCACCCUGCCCAGAAGCGUGAGUCCCUGCCUCACACCGACCCCUCCCACGCAGAGAGAGGUCAGCGUGAGCCCCUUGCCUCACACCGGCCCCUCCCACGCCGAGAGAGGUCAGCAUGAGCCCUUGCCUCCCACCGGCCCCUCCCACGCUGAGAGAGGUCCGCAUGAGCCCCUUGCCUCACACUGGCCCCUCCCACGCUGACCCCUUGCCUCACACCGGCCCCUCCCAUGCCGAGAGAGGUCAGCGUGAGCCCUUGCCUCACACCGGCCCCUCCCACGCUGAGAGAGGUCCGCAUGAGCCCCUUGCCUCACACUGGCCCCUCCCACGCUGACAGAGGUCGGUGUGAGCCCCUUGCUUCACACUGGCCCCUCCCACGCAGAGAGAGGUCAGCGUGACCCCUUGCCUCACACCGGCCCCUCCCACGCUGAGAGGUGGGCGUGAGCCCCUUGCCUCACACUGGCCCCUCCCACACUGACCCCUUGCCUCACACCGGCCCCUCC